GACGAACGCUGGCGGCGUGCCUAAUACAUGCAAGUCGAACGAGAGCGACCGGUGCUUGCACUGGUCAAUCUAGUGGCGAACGGGUGAGUAACACGUGGGUAACCUGCCCAUCAGAGGGGGAUAACAUCCGGAAACGGAUGCUAAAACCGCAUAGGUCUUCGAGCCGCAUGGCUUGAAGAGGAGAAGAGGCGCAAGCUUCUGCUGAUGGAUGGACCCGCGGUGCAUUAGCUAGUUGGUGAGGUAACGGCUCACCAAGGCCGUGAUGCAUAGCCGACCUGAGAGGGUGAUCGGCCACAUUGGGACUGAGACACGGCCCAAACUCCUACGGGAGGCAGCAGUAGGGAAUCUUCCGCAAUGGACGCAAGUCUGACGGAGCAACGCCGCGUGAGUGAAGAAGGUUUUCGGAUCGUAAAACUCUGUUGUUAGAGAAGAACAAGUGCUAGAGUAACUGUUAGCGCCUUGACGGUAUCUAACCAGAAAGCCACGGCUAACUACGUGCCAGCAGCCGCGGUAAUACGUAGGUGGCAAGCGUUGUCCGGAUUUAUUGGGCGUAAAGCGAGCGCAGGCGGUUCCUUAAGUCUGAUGUGAAAGCCCCCGGCUCAACCGGGGAGGGUCAUUGGAAACUGGGGAACUUGAGUGCAGAAGAGGAGAGUGGAAUUCCAUGUGUAGCGGUGAAAUGCGUAGAUAUAUGGAGGAACACCAGUGGCGAAGGCGACUCUCUGGUCUGUAACUGACGCUGAGGCUCGAAAGCGUGGGUAGCAAACAGG
RNAcentral lists this ribosomal RNA (767 nucleotides) under uncultured Granulicatella sp. RNAcentral describes it as "bacterial SSU rRNA". It matches the Rfam family "Bacterial small subunit ribosomal RNA", at positions 28 to 776 of the family's 1533-position model. The record is from RNAcentral. Lineage: Bacteria; Bacillati; Bacillota; Bacilli; Lactobacillales; Carnobacteriaceae.